RNAcentral lists this long non-coding RNA (986 nucleotides) under Anolis carolinensis (green anole). RNAcentral's name for it is "lncRNA (ENSACAG00000034958.1)". Lineage: Eukaryota; Metazoa; Chordata; Lepidosauria; Squamata; Anolidae. The record is from RNAcentral.
UCCACUACCUUGGGGGACAUAUGGCAUCUAUCAUUUUUAACCCUGCUACAUCUGGUAAGAAGGAUCAAUAUUCCCCUUAUUGGAAGACUACCAAAUAUUCACGUUGUCACAGGAAGCUUUUUCUCACAAAGCAACGCCUGCGUUUUUGUCACACAUACUCACUGCUUUGGCAAACCCAAAGCCAAUUUGUUUGAACUAACCUUUAACAUUCUGGAUGGUGGCGGGGAAAGCAUUCUGGCACAUCACCAUUGUGAAGUUAAUUGCCAAGGGUAUUAUGAAGGGAUUAUUCUAAGGUGGAGUCAUGCCCUGAAGUCUAAGCCUGGUGGCUUGGCUGAUGAGGAUGUUCCUGCACCUUUUGCUGAUUGAGUCCAUUAUGUGUUGGUGGGAAGGAGGAAAACCAGGUGAGGCUUACCAGCAGGAGUAGAUGUCCUGUUUCUGAAGUCAGUGGGAGUAUUAGGAGAUCAUCCAUCCAAUCCCCGUUCUCAGGGCUCCGAUUUUUAGGGCCUGGGCUUUGGACAACAUACUCCCUCACCAGAAAAGGGCAAUGAUGUAAUGGUGGUGAGUAACUACAUGCCACUGGUUCUAGCAUUUCCUUCCUACUAUGGUGUGUCUGCUUUGUGCCAUUCUUUCAUCUUCUCCUUUCAAGUAUGAGAGUCUGAAAAUGCUUGUUCACUUUUAACAGAACUGGAAAAAACAGUUCUUGGUCUCUAGCAGUUGAUUAUUGGAGUAAAUGCAGUGCAAAAUGAAUAUUUUGUGUUGUCCAACGGAUUAGCUAUUUUUAAAGUACAGUACACUCUCAAUGUAGUUUCUGGUUGUUUGAGAGUUACUUCUAAAAAUAGUCUUAACUAAUAUUAUACCCUAUACUAUACCAUACAAUAAAUUCUGUAUUGACUUGAUGCUAAUAUUGAAAUACAAUAAUUAAAGACAAAUUUAACUUAAUAUAAUACUUCUGCUAACUUUUUAUUUGAUUUUAAUUUGUAUUUAAA